UUGGGCGCGGCUGAGGUAACCCCCGCCCGCUGAGGGGAGGCGGGCGCCGCCCCGGGGAGCUCCCGCUCCUCGCCCCAGGUGAGGCGCCCUGGGGGGCGGCAGACCCCUCAUCUCCCUCCCUGCCUGUCGGCGGGCGUUUCCUCAGGUCCUGGGGCAGCGGCGGGUUGCGAGGGGCGACCCCCCCCCCCCCCGCCCGGGCCGCCUGAUGGAGGAGACGGCGGGCGGCUUCUCCCCAGUUACUCCUGCCCGGGGGCAGCUGGCGCCGCUUCGUUUAGCUGCAGGCCUCCAAGGUGGGUGCGAGGAGGGCACCCUCCGUCCCCCAGCCCUGUCCCGGGGCCGUCAAGGAACCGAGAAGCUGGGAGGCUAUAGUUAAUAUCAGAACGGCAACCUGGAGCCAGUCCCUCUGCCACUACUGGCAAUGGCCUAGCAGAUGCCUAUGAAAUGGCAAGUGCACAGUGAUUCUUCCUUGGGGAGAUCUCCUCGUUCUAGAGACACGAGAUACUGGGACUUCCUGAACUACGUGCAGUGACUGGAGUGCUUCACAAUUUGAGCACAGAGGAAGCACCACUGAGGUGGCAGAUGAUUCUAAUAACACUUGAUGUGAAUUGAUGGGGAAGGAGGACCAUAACACAGAGGGCUUUUUAUUAUAAGCCUUGACUUCCCAAGCUGUGAACAACAG
Oxyura jamaicensis (ruddy duck) is the source of this 679-nucleotide long non-coding RNA. RefSeq lists it as uncharacterized. The transcript has 3 exons. Lineage: Eukaryota; Metazoa; Chordata; Aves; Anseriformes; Anatidae. The record is from RefSeq and is a predicted model, not a curated record.